RNAcentral lists this ribosomal RNA (497 nucleotides) under uncultured bacterium. Its description in RNAcentral is "partial 16S ribosomal RNA". It matches the Rfam family "Bacterial small subunit ribosomal RNA", at positions 28 to 507 of the family's 1533-position model. The record is from RNAcentral.
GAUGAACGCUGGCGGCGUGCCUAAUACAUGCAAGUCGAGCGAACAGACGAGGAGCUUGCUCCUCUUACGUUAGCGGCGGACGUGUGAGUAACACGUGGAUCACCUACCUAUAAGACUGGGAUAACUUCGGGAAACCGGAGCUAAUACCGGAUAAUAUAUUGAACCGCAUGGUUCAAUAGUGAAAGACGGUUUUGCUGUCACUUAUAGAUGGAUCCGCGCCGCAUUAGCUAGUUGGUAAGGUAACGGCUUACCAAGGCAACGAUGCGUAGCCGACCUGAGAGGGUGAUCGGCCACACUGGACCUGAGCCACGGUCCAGACUCCUACGGAAGGCAGCCGUAGGGAAUCUUCCGCAAUGGGCGAAAGCCUGACGGAGCAAUGCCGCGUGAGUGAUGAAGGUCUUCGGAUCGUAAAACUCUGUUAUUAGGGGAGAACAAAUGUGUAAGUAACUAUGCACGUCUUGACGGUACCUAAUCAGAAAGCCACGGCUAACUACGUG